GCCAAAUCAAAACAAUUUUAUUAAAGAGAAGUAAAUUAAUACAAAAAUAAUCACAAUUCACAUUAACCAUAAAACCCAAAUUCCAAAUAAUAAAUAAAUACAACCCCACAACAAUCAAUCUUGGCUUACAUAGAAAGUAACUCAGGUAAUAGAUCUAUCACCUUUGCCCUUCUGCAGUGCUGAAUUUUGACCUAUUUAAACACAAAUUAACACAAACAACAAAUUCAAGCCAAACAAUAAAACAGACAAUGGUCCAAUCUCAAAGAUCUAAGCACACUGGAACCCUUUUGGUGACUUCUUGCCACAAUAAUUCAGAAGCAGGCUGAUGUCGAGCUGGACAGAGCUGACGAUGCCGAGGACAUUGGCCUUCAGUGCAGUGCAGAGGCAGAGUGCGGCAUCAACAUUAGUCAGCCCGGUCAGUAGGCUACAACAGGAAGUUUUCUUCCCACCGCCGAAGUUGAGGUCGACGAGCCCGGUGACCACAUUUGCGCACACAGCUAGCUUCAGUGUGUCUACUGGGCACUUUUCCGUGCUUGGCUUUGGUGUGGGUGGCUUUGGCGUGGGUGGCUUAGGUGUCACGCCGCCGCCGCAUGUGCCACAGGCGCUGGCUAUGGUAAAGAAGAGGAGGUUGAUGGCGAGGAAGAGGGCGGCGGAAGUUGAGGUCUGGGAAGCCAUUGGUGUGGCACCAGAAUGAAACCCUAGAUUGGAAUGUGAGUCCUAGGGUUUGUGUGAGGUGGUGAUAUUGGUUUGAG
This 752-nucleotide unclassified non-coding RNA is filed under the name Hevea brasiliensis (rubber tree). The record is from RNAcentral. Lineage: Eukaryota; Viridiplantae; Streptophyta; Magnoliopsida; Malpighiales; Euphorbiaceae.